Lingula anatina is the source of this 73-nucleotide non-coding RNA. Lineage: Eukaryota; Metazoa; Brachiopoda; Lingulata; Lingulida; Lingulidae. The record is from Rfam.
GGUUACUUCGCUGAAAUGGUUUCAAUAAUGUCUGUUAAACAUUACUUUGUGGGUUCAAAUCCCACUGUCACCA